Molecule: ribosomal RNA, 253 nt
Filed under: uncultured bacterium
Lineage: Bacteria
Description: partial 16S ribosomal RNA
Rfam family: Bacterial small subunit ribosomal RNA
Source: RNAcentral
UACAGAGGGUGCAAGCGUUAAUCGGACUUACUGGGCGUAAAGCGUGCGUAGGUGGUUAAAUAAGUCGAAUGUGAAAGCCCUGGGCUUAACCUAGGAACUGCAUUUGAUACUGUUUGGCUAGAGUAUAGUAGAGGGUAGUGGAAUUUCCGGUGUAGCGGUGAAAUGCGUAGAUAUCGGAAGGAACAUCAGUGGCGAAGGCGGCUACCUGGGCUAAUACUGACACUGAGGCACGAAAGCGUGGGUAGCGAACAGG